CCUACGGGAGGCAGCAGUAGGGAAUCUUCCGCAAUGGACGAAAGUCUGACGGAGCAACGCCGCGUGAGUGAAGAAGGUUUUCGGAUCGUAAAACUCUGUUGUGAGGGAAGAACAAGUACCAAUUAACUACUGGUACCUUGACGGUACCUCACCAGAAAGCCACGGCUAACUACGUGCCAGCAGCCGCGGUAAU
RNAcentral lists this ribosomal RNA (193 nucleotides) under uncultured bacterium. Its description in RNAcentral is "partial 16S ribosomal RNA". It matches the Rfam family "Bacterial small subunit ribosomal RNA", at positions 338 to 524 of the family's 1533-position model. The record is from RNAcentral.